UUGGGGGCUUGUAUGAUGAUUUUACGGUUAUGAUUUUUUUUAUGUUUUAUUUUGUAAUUUAGAGUUUAAGUUAAAAUACUUAAAUUACUCAGCUAGACGAUAAGACCCUAAAAGCUUUACUAAGAAAUCAUGCUGAAUUUAAAAUAUUUUUUGUGUGGGGGUUAUUAGUUUAGCUGGGGCAGUUGUUUUAUUAUAUUGAAUAUUUGUUUGCUUGCAAGGAAGCUUGAACUUUAAUAUUAGGGUGUUGUUUAAGUUACUUUAGGGAUAACAGCACAAUAGUUUUGGAGAGAGCGUAUCUAUAAAAUUGUUUGUGACCUCGAUGUUGAAUUAAUAUGUCUGGGUAGAGCAGCGUCUACAAAAGAGAGUUUGUUCAACUUUUAAUAUAUUACAUGAUUU
This 396-nucleotide ribosomal RNA is filed under the name Bonnierella sp. BOLD:ADG5327. Its description in RNAcentral is "partial 16S ribosomal RNA". Lineage: Eukaryota; Metazoa; Arthropoda; Malacostraca; Amphipoda; Ischyroceridae. The record is from RNAcentral.